Molecule: long non-coding RNA, 2624 nt
Organism: Sciurus carolinensis (gray squirrel)
Lineage: Eukaryota; Metazoa; Chordata; Mammalia; Rodentia; Sciuridae
Exons: 4
Source: RefSeq, a predicted model, not a curated record
CCUUCCAGGCAGCGAUAUGGCCCCACGCUCUCGGGUCCUCUGGUCACCGGGGACUCCUGACCCUUGCCCCUCCCAGAAGGAAGGGCGCUUAGAAAGCGCCUAGUUCUCGAUUGGGUGGAAAACUUUACUUUGUAGGGUUCCGACGGUAGCCCAGGGGCCAAAGCAAGUCCCAGAUGGAGAGUCCCUCCGGGGCGCGGGUUCUGCGACUGCGAAAUAGCCCUCUCUCCUAAGCACCUGGAACUUGGGAGUGGCCUUUCCCGGGCAUCUCCCACCCCCAGCACACACGCACGCCUCGUGAUCGCCGAUCGCCCCUCGCAGCUCGGGACUGCCCUCCAGCCCCUCGGCCCGGGGCGAAGCGGACAGGCGCCUUUAAGGGCCGCUCGGCUUACCUUUGCUCGGUUCCCCCGCGCCGCGGUGCCCCCUCCUCCGACCUCCCUGCUCGCGCAGCUCGCUGCCCGCCGGCCGCACUCACCGCACCGCCCGCGCGUGUCCUGGGUCGCCGCGCGCCAGCCCGCCACGGCCCGGAGGCUUCGGGGCUGGGCGCCGCGCCCUGCGCCCUGCGCCCUGAGCCCUGCUGGGGUCGGUCCCUGCCCCAGCGCGGGGCCGCUUCCCCAGCUCCCGAAAGGGCUGUCCCUGAGAGCCUGGACUAGGGGGAUAAGGCCCUCAAGACUGGAUCACCCCAGGACAGGAGCCCUAGAGGUGGUUUCCCCAAAGCGGAGCUCUCUAAAGCAAAAUGGGAAUCAUGUGAAUGUCCACCUCUUGGGAUGUGAGAAUUAAAAGGCCUGAAGGUGACCGUGCUUUGUGAACCGUCAAGCCGUCUGCGUGUGUAGGAGAUCACGGGUGUUUGGCUCACGGGCCCUCCUCAAUCAAGUGAAGACAUGGGAAAUGGGAAACCAGCAAGGAUAGAGAAACUCACUGCAAGAGCAGGUAGACUUUGAGGGACCAAUAGAACUUCUUGGCUCAGUCUUUGAGAAGCACCCAGGAAGCCUGUCGGAUGGGUCCAGGACAGGUGUUACGGAGGUGGCAGACAACCUCGGGAAGCUUGGCUCUGGGUCAAGGAAGAAGGCCAAGCUCGAACCCCACAGGCCCACCUUAACCUGGCCUCUGUUCACAUCCCACAACCUCUGCUGCUGUCAGUCACCUUAACAAGAACUUGACAAUGGGCUACUCUGCCCGUUUGCUUCUGAUGACUCCUGGGAGGGACCUCGUGGUCCCCAAGCUCACCUUCAGACUCUAAUGAAAUCUGAGGACCCCCUCCCAGGACUAAAAACACACAUAACUCUUCCCAUUUGCUUUCAGGAGCUUUGGGCCUCUUCAGGUUCACUCAGGAGCUCCCUUCAUGGAGGCAUGGCCUUUGAGGUCCCUUGUGACCUGGCCCUGCCUCUGUCGGCAGCUCUUCUUGAUUUUCUCCCUCUCGUGCUUUCCAACCACAUCAAAUUACGCGUACUACACACACCACCGUUCCACCGCCUCAGGCCUCACAUUCCCACUGGGAUUGGAGAGGCUUUCUCCUUCACCUCUCACCUAGUAAACUCCUAUUCAGUCUUCAAAACCCAUUCUAGGAGUCACCUUCUCCUUGACACACAUGGUCCCCGAUGCUGUCUGGACAUGCUUCACUGCCCAGUCUGAAGCACUUCUGCCCUAUGUACGGCUCUUCCUGUCUGUCCCCUGAGGCGCAGGGCUCCACGCCUGUCUCCUUUACUGGACUAUGAACUUCCCCAGGCCAGACAUCACACCUUUAGCUUUUGUAUUCCCAGUACCUAGCAGUCACAGGUGCGCCCCAGGGGCUGGCGAACCAAAAUGGCAGAACUAAAUGGGCAGAGGAAGCAGAAGAGAAGGAGCAGGUGGGACUUUAGGCACCAGGAGAAAGGGGAGGUGGGAAGCACCUGGAGGUCAAGGAGUUAAGGACUGCAGGGCACCAUUGAAUUUGGCAGCUAGGAAGCCACUGGUAGGGUGACCAGCUGUCCUGAUUUGCCUGGGACUCUCCCAGUUCUAGUAUGGAAAGCCCUGGACAAACAGAAACAGUCGGUCACCCUAGAUUGGUGACCUUUCCAACAGCAGUUCAGGAGGUAGGAGCCGGGCAGAGCCUGGAUGUGGGGAGCGGAGGGGUGGGUGCAAGGUGGGAGGGGCCCUGGAUGUACCUGGCUGCCGACAGGAGGAGGAGCCUGAGGUCGGUGCCAGCCACCACCGUGCCUCCUGCCCCCGCCGCCCUGGAGAGAAGGCAAACAAAGCCGGUGGAUGUCAGGGACACGGCGUACACGCUUAAUGACUUCUUCCUGAAGGGCUCCAAGCACGCUACCUCCGUCACCCAACGAGUCCUGCCACCACCUCUGAUCCCCGAGGGAACGGCAACCCUCUGUCCUCUGACGUCUUGCAGCAAGCAUCUGUGUGUUUUAUCCAGUUGGUGUGAUGGGUCCUGCUUGGACUCCUGGUGGCUCUUCUCCACUUUUGAACUGUUAUUUAAGAAUCUCAUUUGGGGGCCAGACUGUAGCAUGUGUCUAUAACCCCAGCUACCUGGGAGGCUGGGGCAGGAGGAUCACAAGUUCAAGGCUAGCCUCAGCAAUUGAGCAAGACACUGUGUCAAAAAUUUUGAAAAAUAAUAAUAAGAGAUCUGGGGGUGUAGC